AGAGUUUGAUCCUGGCUCAGAUUGAACGCUAGCGGGAUGCUUAACACAUGCAAGUCGAACGGCAGCGCGAGUUAAGCUUGCUUAACUUGGCGGCGAGUGGCGAACGGGUGAGUAAUGUAUCGGAACGUGCCCAGUAGCGGGGGAUAACUACGCGAAAGCGUGGCUAAUACCGCAUACGCCCUACGGGGGAAAGGGGGGGAUCGCAAGACCUCUCACUAUUGGAGCGGCCGAUAUCGGAUUAGCUAGUUGGUGGGGUAAAGGCCUACCAAGGCGACGAUCCGUAGCUGGUUUGAGAGGACGACCAGCCACACUGGGACUGAGACACGGCCCAGACUCCUACGGGAGGCAGCAGUGGGGAAUUUUGGACAAUGGGGGCAACCCUGAUCCAGCCAUCCCGCGUGUGCGAUGAAGGCCUUCGGGUUGUAAAGCACUUUUGGCAGGGAAGAAACAGCCUGGGAUAAUACCCCGGGCGACUGACGGUACCUGCAGAAUAAGCACCGGCUAACUACGUGCCAGCAGCCGCGGUAAUAC
Molecule: ribosomal RNA, 531 nt
Filed under: uncultured bacterium
Lineage: Bacteria
Description: bacterial SSU rRNA
Rfam family: Bacterial small subunit ribosomal RNA
Source: RNAcentral